Molecule: long non-coding RNA, 4653 nt
Filed under: Nicotiana tabacum (common tobacco)
Lineage: Eukaryota; Viridiplantae; Streptophyta; Magnoliopsida; Solanales; Solanaceae
Description: long non-coding RNA (NTAB_LNC001776)
Source: RNAcentral
GAUCACAAAAUACCAACUAUCACACUUAAUAAAAUACACUGACAGAGCGAGAGAGAUUUAAACUUCUAUAUCUCCGUUAUAACAAAGCCCCAUGACCCUACGGUGCUCAAGCUGAUACAAAUAUACCAUGAACAAGCGUUUGGAGGAGAAACGAGAAGAGAAUAGAGGAUAAACCGAUUCGAAUGCACACCCCUAGGUCAAACAGUUAGAGCAUCAGCUCUUUAAUCGAGUGAGCUGAUAUAUCUGAGUUCAAACUUGUUGGAGGCUAUUUUCUCUCGAACAAAAUGAAAAUCUAUGUUAAUAUCACUGCUGGGGUUACGCGGUAUUCUAACGGCCGUAUCAGUUGAAAAGCAUAUCUUCCUGCUUCUCCUUCAUGUCUUGCAUCACUAUAUCUGCUAGCUACAUCACUUUUUCUUGAUUGGAUAAGUUGCAAAUCAUUUUGUACAAUAUUUGAUGACAGAUCUAAUACGCGCUAGUUGUUCCAUGGCAUGUUAGUUUACCCAGAGUUGAAUCGAGGUUAUGCCUAGAUCAGGUAAAUUUUUAACCUUUGGUAUCUAAUCAAACAAUUAUAAAUGCAGUCUAAUCUAUAUCUAUCUAUAUAAAAAUAAUUGAGGGACUUGGACCAGUUACGUGGCACUCCUAUUUGGCAGGAAAUGCAUUUUCCUGCCUCUAUGUAUUUUUCGGAUUUUACACUUCAAAAUUUAUUGCCAAAACACGAAAAGUCUCUUUACACUAUGAACGAACCGCUUCCCAUCCACAACGAUUCUUUUCUUCCCACAAACCAUUCUGUUUCCAUACUUAUUUCUCUUUCCAUACUCUAUCAAUUCUAUCAGUUACUCAGUAGCCUUUCAUCGAUAUUUUUUCUCCUCAUCUUCUCUGCCUUUACUUUGUUAAAUUUCUCUACACUAAUCUUCUUUGUUCUUUUUUGGGGGAAGGAAAAAAUUCGUUAAUUCACUGGUAAUCACUAUAUUUUUCACUCACCAGAAAAUUCCUCACCAAAUGCCAACUUCGCCGCUAAUGAAGUAUUCGAAGAAAAACAUAUCUCGCCCACGGUCUCAGCAAAUAUUGAUAUUCACUCCACAACUACCGGCCUAUAAUUCAAAACUAAUCUAUACAAUCUAUGUGUCAUUCUUAUAUAUAUAAAAUUUGUACACCCUAAUCUAAUUAUAUAGGUGUGGCAGACAAGGAUUACGAGGCCAUAACGGCGUGAAAAGAUUCAGGUACAGUCCAAAGCACUGCUAUGCUUUUUCCGCAAUUCAUAACUUAUGGUGUAAGUAUUCCAGAAUCCUACAAUUCUUUUUCCCUAAUUCAUAAAUAAGGAUCUAAAGAUUCUAAAACACUUUAAAAAGUUUGCAAAAAAACAAAGAUUCUUCACUACUAUGAUUUUUACACUAUGGUGUAAAUAUUCUUAAAUACUUACUUGCCUACUAAUGGUGCAAAAAUGUUGUUUUACUUCUAUUUUUUUGGGAUCAAAUCUCGACAACAGUAUUUUUAAAUGUUGAUUAUAGCUUACUUAUAUAGAUUUUAGACUAUUUUAUAUUUUUAUCGUAGCCUUCGAAAUUGGUAUUGGAUAAUUGUUCUCUGCACUUUUGUAUUCUGCUUGCAGCCAUAUAUGCAUUUUUAAUAGCUGCAACAUUGUAAUGACCUGGAAAAUAUAUUACUAUUAUACAGCAAAAUUGUAAUGGCCGUUGUAAUGCUUUCUAAUUUUAGUUUGAAUAUAUAUAGAUUCUCUAUAUUAUAUUGUCGUGCUUUACUCUUGUGUGUUCUACUUGAAGAUCAUAUGCAUCUAUAAUACAAUAAUAAAAGACUAAUGAUUAGAAAAAUACUUUUUCCCAGCAAUAUUGUAGAUGUUAGGAAAUUUAUUCUUCAGUUUUCUUAUAUCUUGCCUUUUAUCCAUUAUUUAAGUGCUCAGACGCGCCUCUUUUUGCUCCUUCAAAAGUCACGCCUCUUACUCUUCUAUCUCAAUUUUAACCACACAUCGUUUCUCUUCCUCUUAUUUCCUCCAAGCCAAAGCAAAUCACAUAUUUCUUUUAACCAUACGUCGUUUUCUCAUUUUUUUUGUUUGCUGCAUUAUGAAUUAAUGUGUAUUUACCUUUUGUGUGUUUGACAUUUAAACUGAUGAGUUUAUAUGAUGAUCGGUUAAUAUAGACUUCAAGUUAAUUUUAAACUAAUUAAUAUAGUUUUCCAUGUGCUUAUAUCGUCCUAAUAUAUAUAGCUUAUCUUUUAUCAUAGAGGAUUCAUGCAAUGGAUAAUCACUGACCAAUUGAUAGCGUUAUCUUAAGAAUAUACAAAGAGAACUAAUCAAAGACUACUAUUUUCGUUAUAAUUCAUGCAAGGACCUUGAGAUACGUCAUGAUGCUAUCUUUUCUAUACUCUACUUUGUGAGAUGAUCUGGUCAUUUUUACGAGUAACUUUUGUUUUGGUUAUCAAUAUAUUCAUUUUUGCAAAACCAACUUUUUAGUUUAAUUUUAGUAAUCAGAUAUUUAGAAAAGCUUGCGUGGUAAAUUCAAUAAUAUAUUACCUAUAUAGGUUAUACAAAAAUAACAAAAAAGUUAGAUGACUAAAAACUCUUACAUGACAAAAAAAUUAGAGAAAAAUAAAAUAAAAAAGUGUUAAUAACAAAAUGGAUUAAAAUAUAAGUAGGAACAAAAGGUAAGGUGACUUACUUAUGUGAAAAGUCUGAUAAAUAUUAUUGUUUGUAAUAAUUAAUAUCACAUAUGACCAAUAUUUGCAUCUAAUACAAUUACUAAUUUAUAUUAUUAUCUACAAUAAUUAUAAUUAAUACUCCUAUAAUAUUAUUUAAGAGCAACAUUUAACGGGAUUCAAAGGCCUAAUUUAUAAAAGUUCAAAAAUUUAUAUAUGUGAUAUUUUUAUUUGGAUUUUCUUUUCUAUUCUAAUUUUUUCAUACGUAUAUCUUACAUUUUUUUUGUUGGUGUUACGAAAAUGUUCUCAUUUAUUUUGAUUUGACUGCGCGAAGUGCAUGCUAUUUAACUAGUUUACAAAUAAAGGGAGAGGAUAAUCUGAUGAUUUCUUAUUAGGUUUUCUAAAUCUUUAGUUGGUUAGUUUUCACAAUGUAUUCAUAGUGGUAUGUGCAAUUCCCGCAAUUAUUACCUAACAAUUUGUUGGCUUUUGCCAUAUACAUAACCAAACGCGAUCAUAAUCUUACUAAGUAUUUUGCAUUGCGUUUUCAGUAAAUUAUAAGAGAUGACCUCCUCUGCUACAUAGGUCAUAUAUCAUCAUCCUUGAUUUGUGAGCCACGGUUAACUUUCGUGUUGUUUCACCUUUGGAAACAAAAAUGAAAUUAUAUUUGUUCGCUUUGUGUAGGCCAGGUUGCCUGAUGUGAGCAAUAAUGUAUGUGUAUCUUGAGGUUGCAAAAUUAGAUUACAACAAAUGCGAAAGUCAACAUAUAUCGAUCGGCAUAAUUUUUACAUAUAAAAGAAAAGUAAUUAAGGAAAUAAAAUGGUAUUUCCCCUCACAUUUCCUUUUUGGACAUGACUGCAGUCUGCAUAAUGAACCGGUGGUUUGAAAACUGCAAGCUACAGGAGAUAAGACUACACAAAAAAUCCCUCCUAAAUGCUUAUUUCUUAAUUAGCUGCACCCAGUGUAUUUAACCAGAAUUGCACUAAACAUUGCCAAUACAAGUUAGAAGCUGAGACAAAGUUUUUCCUUUGAAAUAAAGCUUCAAACAGUUUACUCUCUGACUAUAACAUCAAAAACGGAUUUUAUAGCACCUCAUUUACCAUAUUACAAUUUAAUGCUUAUGAAAAGGUUUACAUGUUAUUACUUUAUGAUUUGAUUAUGUAAAUAUUUUUUAUAUUAAUGUUUGUGCAUAGAACUUAAACGGCUUCUCUAAUCAAGUACACCACAUAUUGCUACCAUAUGCACUUGUGCCUAAAAAACGACACUUAUUAAGGAAAACAACAAUAUGCACAUGAGUCAUUGCGAAACGAUCAAUCAGAAAAAUCUUCUUGGGAUCUAUUUCUUAUAUUGUUGAAAACACUUUCACGUAACUUCUAAAAACAUCGACAAAAUGUUCACAGUAUUAGUUUAUUGUUAUAUUCACACUACUCAUAUAGCUAGUAUGUUCGAUAUAUAAUUAUAUCAAAGGAUUCAAAAUUUAAUUGUGAGAUGAGAUGAAAUUUUAGUCAAACAAACCUCCAAAAUAUCAUAUAAUAUAGUAUCGAAGAGAAAAAAAGAAGAAAACAUGAGCAAAAUAUUCAAUUGCAAUAUUUAGCAGAGAUUUUCUUACAGUAACAAAACUAAAGAGAUGGUCCUCCGUAACCUACUUCAGUUUCUUCACCAACUCGAUCUCUGAUAAAGUUUACAAGGACGAUACAGGGAAAGACAUCCACCACCAAUUACACAAUGCAAUGAGUACAUUAAUUCGGAUCAUAUAUGUUUAUUCUUUAAAUCCCAAUAUUGUUUUUUUGUUUUUUAAAGGAACAUAUAUAUUAUCUUUUCAAUGUAUUGGGAAUAAUAUAUUACUAUUGUUGUCUGCUGUAGUAUUAUUUCCUUUAACUUGUUCUUCUUCGUUUUUUGGCUUGGAGCGGAGGACAGUGGGGAGCAUGGUUGAUGUCCCUAAGGGAGGAGAAGAGUACUCGAAGAAGCAGAGCUGCUAGUGCGAACAAUUAUUCUAUGUGCUGGCCAUAUGAG